GGAGGCGAGAAUAUAGCGAGUACGAGUCGGGGUAUGGAAUGAAGAUUCUAGGGAGAGUUGUUUAGUAGUCCUCACCAUUGUUGUAAAAUAAUGUAUCAAUAAUUAUGAUGAGGAUUUAUUUGUAUGCGGAUAUUGUCUAGAUGGCAAUAUCCGUAUUUAAACUCACAGUUUUACUGUUGUAAUAAUAAAGUUGUAGUUGUUUCUGUACCAUGUAUUGACAACUCAGAAUGGG
RNAcentral lists this long non-coding RNA (232 nucleotides) under Panax ginseng (ginseng). RNAcentral describes it as "long non-coding RNA (PGIN_LNC018300)". The record is from RNAcentral. Lineage: Eukaryota; Viridiplantae; Streptophyta; Magnoliopsida; Apiales; Araliaceae.